ACUGAACGCUGGCGGUAGGCCUAACACAUGCAAGUCGAACGGCAGCACAGUAAGAGCUUGCUCUUACGGGUGGCGAGUGGCGGACGGGUGAGGAAUACAUCGGAAUCUACUUUUUCGUGGGGGAUAACGUAGGGAAACUUACGCUAAUACCGCAUACGACCUACGGGUGAAAGCAGGGGAUCUUCGGACCUUGCGCGAUUGAAUGAGCCGAUGUCGGAUUAGCUAGUUGGCGGGGUAAAGGCCCACCAAGGCGACGAUCCGUAGCUGGUCUGAGAGGAUGAUCAGCCACACUGGAACUGAGACACGGUCCAGACUCCUACGGGAGGCAGCAGUGGGGAAUAUUGGACAAUGGGCGCAAGCCUGAUCCAGCCAUACCGCGUGGGUGAAGAAGGCCUUCGGGUUGUAAAGCCCUUUUGUUGGGAAAGAAAAGCAGCAGGUUAAUACCCCGCUGUUCUGACGGUACCCAAAGGAUAAGCACCGGCUAACUUCGUG
RNAcentral lists this ribosomal RNA (492 nucleotides) under uncultured bacterium. Its description in RNAcentral is "partial 16S ribosomal RNA". It matches the Rfam family "Bacterial small subunit ribosomal RNA", at positions 30 to 507 of the family's 1533-position model. The record is from RNAcentral.